CAGCCCCUCGAGUGGUGGGGAUGAUUAUUUGGCCUAAAGCGUCCGUAGCCGGCCGUGUAAGUCUCCCGUUAAAUCCAGCGUCUCAAGCGUUGGACUGCGGGAGAUACUGUACGGCUAGAGAGUGGGAGAGGUCAGCGGUAUUCUGGAGGUAGGGGCGAAAUCCUUUGAUCCCCGGAGGACCACCAGUGGCGAAGGCUGCUGACUAGAACACGUCUGACGGUCAGGGACGAAAGCUGGGGUAGCGAACCGGAUUAGAUACCCGAGUAGUCC
Molecule: ribosomal RNA, 270 nt
Filed under: uncultured archaeon
Lineage: Archaea
Description: partial 16S ribosomal RNA
Rfam family: Archaeal small subunit ribosomal RNA
Source: RNAcentral